ACAGUUACUCCCAUAUUGAAGAUGCAGAGUUUGCACACAGAGAAGUAACUUGCCAAAAAGUCACAGAUGUCAAGAAUGGUGGAGCUCAAGCAGCUUAGCACCUACAUCUGUCUCCACCCACUACAAGCUGGCAGCCUCUGGACGCAGCCUGAGAGCCAAUAGCUACACUUUCAGGCAUGAACACAUGGAGAAGCUCAAGGGGGGAAACAGUUAUGGUUUUCUUCUCCUGUGGAAACCCAAAGGGCCAAGGAGCCUGAGGCUAAGGAGCCUUUCACUGAAGGGCCCAGCAGGCCAGGGACCGCCAGAGCAAAUGAGUGCCCUUCUGUGACAGCUUACUACCAGCCAAGCCUGACUGAGGAGUAUGAUGAAGACAGCCCAGGAGGGGAUUUUGACUUUUUCUCCAACCUGGUAACCAAAUGGGAAGCAGCAGCCAGGCUUCCUGGAGAGUCUACACGCCAGGUCGUGGUACGUUCAGGUGAGGACCAAGGGCCUGGGAACCAAGCAAAGUAGAAGAUUUCUGGGCUGAGGAG
Molecule: long non-coding RNA, 530 nt
Filed under: Rattus norvegicus (Norway rat)
Lineage: Eukaryota; Metazoa; Chordata; Mammalia; Rodentia; Muridae
Description: long non-coding RNA NONRATT010916
Source: RNAcentral